Molecule: ribosomal RNA, 791 nt
Filed under: uncultured soil bacterium
Lineage: Bacteria
Description: bacterial SSU rRNA
Rfam family: Bacterial small subunit ribosomal RNA
Source: RNAcentral
AGAGUGGAUCCUGGCUCAGGACGAACGCUGACGGUGUGCUUUAGGCAUGCAAGUCGAACGAGAAAGCCCUUCGGGGUGAGUAAAGUGGCGAACGGGUGAGUAACACGUGGGCAACCUGCCCCUCGCAGGGGGACAACCGGAGGAAACUCCGGCUAAUACCCCGUACGUUCUCAGGGUCGCAUGGCCUUGGGAGGAAAGGUAGCUUCGGCCAUCCGGCGAGGGAUGGGCCCGCGGUGCAUUAGCUAGUUGGUGGGGUAACGGCUCACCAAGGCAACGAUGCAUAGCUGGUCUGAGAGGAUGAUCAGCCACACUGGGACUGAGACACGGCCCAGACUCCUACGGGAGGCAGCAGCCAGGAAUCUUGGGCAAUGGGCGCAAGCCUGACCCAGCAACACCGUGUGGGCGAUGAAGGCCUUCGGGUCGUAAAGCCCUGUUGAUAGGGACGAAGGGCGAAGGGUUAAUAGCCCCUAGCCUGACGGUACCUUUCGAGGAAGCCCCGGCUAACUACGUGCCAGCAGCCGCGGUAAUACGUAGGGGGCGAGCGUUGUCCGGAUUUAUUGGGCGUAAAGAGCGUGUAGGCGGUUCGGUAAGUCUGUCGUGAAAUCCUGAGGCUCAACCUCGGGCGUGCGAUGGAUACUGCCGGGCUAGAGGAUGGUAGAGGCGAGUGGAAUUCCCGGUGUAGCGGUGAAAUGCGCAGAUAUCGAGAGGAACACCAGUAGCGAAGGCGGCUCGCUGGGCCAUUCCUGACGCUGAGACGCGAAAGCUAGGGGAGCGAACAGGAUUAGAUACCC